AGAGUUUGAUCCUGGCUCAGAUUGAGCGCUGGCGGCAGGCCUAACACAUGCAAGUCGAACGGUAACACAGAGAGCUUGCUCUCCGCUGACGAGCGGCGGACGGGUGAGUAAUGUCUGGGAAACUGCCUGAUGGAGGGGGAUAACUACUGGAAACGGUAGCUAAUACCGCAUAACGUCGCAAGACCAAAGAGGGGGACCUUCGGGCCUCUUGCCAUCGGAUGUGCCCAGAUGGGAUUAGCUAGUAGGUGGGGUAACGGCUCACCUAGGCGACGAUCCCUAGCUGGUCUGAGAGGAUGACCAGCCACACUGGAACUGAGACACGGUCCAGACUCCUACGGGAGGCAGCAGUGGGGAAUAUUGCACAAUGGGCGCAAGCCUGAUGCAGCCAUGCCGCGUGUAUGAAGAAGGCCUUCGGGUUGUAAAGUACUUUCAGCGGGGAGGAAGGGAGUAAAGUUAAUACCUUUGCUCAUUGACGUUACCCGCAG
This 485-nucleotide ribosomal RNA is filed under the name uncultured Escherichia sp. RNAcentral describes it as "bacterial SSU rRNA". It matches the Rfam family "Bacterial small subunit ribosomal RNA", at positions 8 to 484 of the family's 1533-position model. Lineage: Bacteria; Pseudomonadati; Pseudomonadota; Gammaproteobacteria; Enterobacterales; Enterobacteriaceae. The record is from RNAcentral.